CACCCUACGGGGCGCAGCAGUGAGGGAUAUUGGUCAAUGGGGGAAACCCUGAACCAGCAACGCCGCGUGAGGGAAGACGGUUUUCGGAUUGUAAACCUCUGUCCUCUGUGAAGAUAAUGACGGUAGAAGAGGAGGAAGCUCCGGCUAACUACGUGCCAGCAGCCGCGGUAAUACGUAGGGAGCGCGCGUUGUCCGGAUUUACUGGGUGUAAAGGGUGCGUAGGCGGGGAAGCAAGUCAGAAGUGAAA
This 247-nucleotide ribosomal RNA is filed under the name uncultured bacterium. RNAcentral's name for it is "partial 16S ribosomal RNA". It matches the Rfam family "Bacterial small subunit ribosomal RNA", at positions 335 to 599 of the family's 1533-position model. The record is from RNAcentral.